UACGUAGGGGGGCAAGCGUUUGUCCGGAAUCAUUGGGCGUAAAGAGCGUGUAGGCGGCUCGGUAAGUCCGCUGUAAAAGUCCAGGGCUCAACCCUGGAAAGCCGGUGGAAACUGUCGAGCUAGAGUCCGGAAGAGGCGAGUGGAAUUCCUGGUGUAGCGGUGAAAUGCGCAGAUAUCAGGAGGAACACCAAUGGCGAAGGCAGCUCGCUGGGACGGUACUGACGCUGAGGAGCGAAAGCAUGGGGGAGCGAACGG
RNAcentral lists this ribosomal RNA (255 nucleotides) under uncultured bacterium. RNAcentral describes it as "partial 16S ribosomal RNA". It matches the Rfam family "Bacterial small subunit ribosomal RNA", at positions 524 to 775 of the family's 1533-position model. The record is from RNAcentral.